RNAcentral lists this ribosomal RNA (433 nucleotides) under uncultured bacterium. RNAcentral describes it as "partial 16S ribosomal RNA". It matches the Rfam family "Bacterial small subunit ribosomal RNA", at positions 29 to 507 of the family's 1533-position model. The record is from RNAcentral.
AACGAACGCUGGCGGCAUGCCUAACACAUGCAAGUCGAACGAGACCAUCGGGACUAGUUGCGCACGCGUGCGUCACGCGUCGGAACCUGCCCUUAGGCUCGGAAUAACUCUCCGUAGGGGGUGCUAACGCCGGAUAACGUCUUCUGACAAAAGAUUGAUCGCACUUGGUUGGGCAGGCGUUGGUUUAGCUGGUUGGUAGGGUAAAAGCCUACCAAGGCGACGAUCCAUAGCUGGUCUGAGAGGAUGAUCAGCCACACUGGGACUGAGACACGGCCCAGACUCUUACGGGAGGCAGCAGUGGGGAAUAUUGGACAAUGGGCGGAAGCCUGAUCCAGCAAUGCCGCGUGAGUGAUGAAGGCCUUAGAGUUGUAAAGCUCUUUUACCCGGGAUGAUAAUGACAGUACCGAGAGAAUAAGCUCCGGCUAACUCCGUG